GAUAUCCUUUCUGCCAGUGUUAGUAUCAGUACUUGAAUCUGUUGGAAUCUGAUGUCUCCUGAUAGUAGAAGAAUGAGGAAACUUGCAAUUAGUAUUUCUGAGGGGCUUUUGAAAAUCUGAUUUGUACUUCAUUUAGAGUGUGGAAAAUGAGAAAAAUGCCAUAUUUUACUUCCCUUUUGGUGCAUUAAAUGAAUAGAUAUUCUGGAAUAUUGUGCCAUUCAUGUAAGGUCCCUUAUCAUUCCUUUGUGUGCUACCAAUGGAUUGCUUUAGAUGAUGUAUGUAUAUAUGCCACUAGUUUCAAAUUUCAACCCAAUAA
Molecule: unclassified non-coding RNA, 316 nt
Filed under: Hevea brasiliensis (rubber tree)
Lineage: Eukaryota; Viridiplantae; Streptophyta; Magnoliopsida; Malpighiales; Euphorbiaceae
Source: RNAcentral